Molecule: ribosomal RNA, 388 nt
Filed under: Rhizosolenia sp.
Lineage: Eukaryota; Bacillariophyta; Coscinodiscophyceae; Rhizosoleniales; Rhizosoleniaceae
Description: partial small subunit ribosomal RNA
Rfam family: Eukaryotic small subunit ribosomal RNA
Source: RNAcentral
AUUCCAGCUCCAAUAGUGUAUAUUAAAGUUGUUGCAGUUAAAAAGCUCGUAGUUGGAUUUCUGGCGGGAGCGAUCGGUCCUUCACUCAGUGUUGGAACCUGAUUGUCUCCUGCCAUCCAUGGAGAAAACUUAUUUGGCAUUAAUUUGUCGGAGAUGGGACCCGCGUCAUUUAUUGUGAAAAAAUUAGAGUGUUUAAAGCAGGCAAUAGCUUGAAUACAUAGCAUGGAAUAAUAAGAUAGGACUUUGGUGCUAUUUUGUUGGUUUGCACACCAAGGUAAUGAUUAACAGGUACAAUUUGGGGUAUUCGUAUUCAUAUGUCAGAGGUGAAAUUCUUGGAUUUUAGGAAGACGAACUACUGCGAAAGCAUUUAUCAAGGAUGUUUUCAUUA